This is a long non-coding RNA of Salvelinus fontinalis (brook trout), 799 nucleotides long. RefSeq lists it as uncharacterized. The record is from RefSeq and is a predicted model, not a curated record. The transcript is spliced from 3 exons. Lineage: Eukaryota; Metazoa; Chordata; Actinopteri; Salmoniformes; Salmonidae.
CCUUGCUUUGGCUUUGUUUACAAACCGUAAACUAGCUACUAGUUGCUAGCUUAAGCAGAACGUACGACCAAAUAUACUGGUAACCUUUCAUCUGUGGUGUGACUGUUUGCUAGCAAGCUACUUAUUGCAUGCCGGCAAAAGCACACUGUGUUGUGACUGGAUGCCUUAGUGUACAAUUAACCUUACACUAUUUUCCGAAGAAUUAAGACAUCUGACAGCAGUGGCUCGGGUGGACAGGCUGCAAAUUCCGAUCAUGUCAGACAUGUGCAGUGCACAUUUCGAGUGAAGUUGCUUUAUCAAUUGGGAAGUACAUUCGAUGGGUCUUGCCAGGAAGCUCAUCCUGAAGACAGAUGGUGUACCAUCAUCGUCAGUAGAUUUUGCAAGCGUAGACCAUUAUCUUCCCAGGCAACCCACCAAAACAGGAAUGCUGCAAUACAAAAAACAGCUCCCCCAAGGCAAAGAAGGGGGAUUUGGUGUGAAGCCUAUGAAGACAGACCUAACAUACUGGACUGCUCCUGGAUCUCCUCUUCAACGAGGUCAGCCUUGAGCUAGCAAAGGACUGUAUGCGGGGAAGCUGUGGGAGCUGGCCAUCCCAGGACCCCUGUCUGAGAGGCCUGACAAGGAGGCAAUAGCUGGAUUUGUCUCCCGUUCAAUCUUGUGGGUGACUGAAGCCAAGUGUGUGACUGAAGCCUGCUUGAUUGAAGUGGGGUACAUGGGUCCCCCUCUCAUCCAUCUCUAUACUGUAGUUGGUUGCAUUCCCUAAAGCCUAAAUAAUAAACUUUUACGUGAUAUGACAUCA